CCGUGCUAAGCGGGGAGGUAGCGGUGCCCUGUACCCGCAAUCCGCUCUAGCGGGGCUGAAUCCCUUCUCGAGGUUCGUUUACUUUAAGGUCUGCCUUAAGUAAGUGGUGUUGACGUUUGGGUCCUGCGCAAUGGGAAUUCAUGAACCAUGUCAGGUCCGGAAGGAAGCAGCAUUAAGUGAAACCUCUCAUGUGCCGCAGGGUUGCCUGGGCCGAGCUAACUGCUUAAGUAACGCUUAGGGUAGCGAAUCGACAGAAGGUGCACGG
RNAcentral lists this signal recognition particle RNA (265 nucleotides) under Bacillus atrophaeus. RNAcentral describes it as "signal recognition particle sRNA large type". It matches the Rfam family "Bacterial large signal recognition particle RNA". Rfam says of the family: The signal recognition particle (SRP) is a universally conserved ribonucleoprotein involved in the co-translational targeting of proteins to membranes. Archaeal SRP consists of a 7S RNA and homologues of the eukaryotic SRP19 and SRP54 proteins. Lineage: Bacteria; Bacillati; Bacillota; Bacilli; Caryophanales; Bacillaceae. The record is from RNAcentral.